GGACCCGCACAAGUAGUGGAGCAUGUGGUUUAAUUCGAAGAUACGCGCAGAACCUUACCAACACUUGACAUGUUCGUCGCGACUCUAAGAGAUUAGAGUUUUCGGUUCGGCCGGACGAAACACAGGUGCUGCAUGGCUGUCGUCAGCUCGUGUCGUGAGAUGUUGGGUUAAGUCCCGCAACGAGCGCAACCCUCACUUUUAGUUGCCAUCAUUAAGUUGGGCACUCUGAAAGAACUGCCAGUGAUAAGCUGGAGGAAGGUGGGGAUGACGUCAAGUCCUCAUGGCCCUUACGUGUUGGGCUACACACGUGCUACAAUGGUAUUUACAACAGGAAGCAAGACGGCGACGUUAAGCAAAUCCUUAAAAAAUACCUCAGUUCGGAUUGCACUCUGCAACUCGAGUGCAUGAAGCUGGAAUU
This 418-nucleotide ribosomal RNA is filed under the name uncultured bacterium. RNAcentral describes it as "bacterial SSU rRNA". It matches the Rfam family "Bacterial small subunit ribosomal RNA", at positions 917 to 1333 of the family's 1533-position model. The record is from RNAcentral.